This 62-nucleotide transfer RNA is filed under the name Goniobranchus leopardus. Its description in RNAcentral is "tRNA-Tyr". The record is from RNAcentral. Lineage: Eukaryota; Metazoa; Mollusca; Gastropoda; Nudibranchia; Chromodorididae.
AUUUUGGUGGCUGAAAAAUAGGCGAUAAAUUGUAAAUUUAUUCAUGACUUUAUUUGUCCCUU